RNAcentral lists this ribosomal RNA (1512 nucleotides) under human gut metagenome. RNAcentral describes it as "bacterial LSU rRNA". It matches the Rfam family "Bacterial large subunit ribosomal RNA", at positions 1120 to 2615 of the family's 2925-position model. The record is from RNAcentral.
CAUUCAAAGAGUGCGUAACAGCUCACUGGUCGAGUGGACAUGCGCCGACAAUACACGGGGCUAAGCUGGACACCGAAGCGGCGGGAUUUUGAUUUUCAGAAUCGGUAGGGGAGCUUCCCAUGGGCGGAGAAGCCGGAGGGCGACCGACGGUGGAGCGCAUGGGAGUGAGAAUGCUGGCAUGAGUAGCGAGAGACGAGAGAGUAACUCGUCCGCCGUGAACCCGAGGUUUCCUGGGCAAGGCUAAUCCUCCCAGGGUCAGUCGGGGGCUAAGGCGAGGCCGGGAGGCGUAGCCGACGCGCAGCAGGCAGACAUUCCUGCACCGCGCACGCGGCGCUACGACCGACGGGGCGACGGAUGGGGGUGGCUCGGCGGGGUUCUGGACGUCCCCGUGAUGGAGCGCGGCCCGCGGACCAGGGAAAUCCGGUCCGCAGAAGGGCGAGGCUCCGGACGAAGCACUUAAGCGAAGCGAGUGAGCCCGAGGUCCCUAGAAAAACCCCUAGGCAGGCGCGUGCGCGCCCGUACCGCAAACCGACACAGGUGGGUGGGUAGAACAUACCGAGGCGAUCGGGUCAACCAUGGUCAAGGAACUCGGCACAAUGGCCCCGUAACUUCGGGAGAAGGGGUGCCCGCGCGUACGUGAACCGGCUCGCCCGGGGAGCGGAGGCGGGCCGCAGUGGAGAGGCCCAAGCGACUGUUUACCAAAAACACAGGACUCUGCAGAAGCCGCAAGGCGACGUAUAGGGUCUGACGCCUGCCCGGUGCCGGAAGGUCACGCGGAGGAGUUAGCCGAUUCGGCGAAGCCCCGAAGCCAAGCCCCGGUAAACGGCGGCCGUAACUAUAACGGUCCUAAGGUAGCGAAAUUCCUUGUCGGGUAAGUUCCGACCUGCACGAAAGGCGCAACGACUUGGGCGCUGUCUCGACCAUGGACCCGGUGAAAUUGCACUGGUCGUGAAGAUGCGACUUACCCGCGGAAGGACGGAAAGACCCCGUGAACCUUCACUGCAGCUUGGCAUUGGCCGCUGGUCCCGCGUGUAGAGGAUAGGCAGGAGGCACAGAUCCGGAGGCGCCAGCCCCCGGGGAGCCGCCCUUGGAAUACUGCCCUCGCGCGACCGGCGUCCUAACCCGAGGCCGUCAACCGGCUCGGGGACCGUGCCAGGCGGGCAGUUUGACUGGGGCGGUCGCCUCCUAAAGGGUAACGGAGGCGCGCGAAGGUCCGCUCGGGACGGUCGGCAACCGUCCUUUUGAAUGCAAGAGUACAAGCGGGCUUGACUGCGAGGCCCACAAGCCGAGCAGGUGCGAAAGCAGGCUCUAGUGAUCCGGCGGCCCCGAGUGGGUGGGCCGUCGCUCAACGGAUAAAAGGUACUCCGGGGAUAACAGGCUGAUCUUGCCCAAGAGUCCACAUCGACGGCAAGGUUUGGCACCUCGAUGUCGGCUCAUCGCAUCCUGGGGCUGAAGUAGGUCCCAAGGGUUGGGCUGUUCGCCCAUUAAAGCGGUACGCGAGCUGGGUUCAGA